Molecule: long non-coding RNA, 409 nt
Filed under: Brachypodium distachyon (stiff brome)
Lineage: Eukaryota; Viridiplantae; Streptophyta; Magnoliopsida; Poales; Poaceae
Description: long non-coding RNA (BDIS_LNC001191)
Source: RNAcentral
GAGGGAGCAGAACAACAGAAUCUUCAACACCAAGCGAUCUCCGGCUGCGGGGAUUCUAAUGGUGAUCAAGAAUAAGUCAGCCCUGUGACGCUUAAUCGAUAGCAAAGGCGAUGGGGCUUUGCUCUCCGGAUUAUAAGAUAUUCCCUGAGUAGUUACUAUUAGUUUUUGCGUUGUUUUUCCUUUUCUUCUAUCUUUUUCUUUCCUUGUAAUUGAACUUUGUUUUUUCUCCCGUGGUCGAUCUCGUGUCAGCCUCCUUCAAUAGAUCAAGAGCACACUGUGUCUCUUCUUUAAAAAAAGUGAAGAAAUUGCACAAGGACUACGGAGAUUUAAAGGUGCACAAAGAGAGCAUGCUCCCGGUGAAAUUUGCGAUGAAAAAAAAUAAUCAAAACAAUGAUGCAGAUACAAGAUC